Molecule: ribosomal RNA, 433 nt
Filed under: uncultured bacterium
Lineage: Bacteria
Description: partial 16S ribosomal RNA
Rfam family: Bacterial small subunit ribosomal RNA
Source: RNAcentral
AACGAACGCUGGCGGCAUGCCUAACACAUGCAAGUCGAACGAGACCUUCGGGUCUAGUGGCGCACGGGUGCGUAACGCGUGGGAACCUGCCUUUAGGUUCGGAAUAACUCAGAGAAAUUUGAGCUAAUACCGGAUGAUGUCUUCGGACCAAAGAUUUAUCGCCUUUAGAUGGGCCCGCGUUGGAUUAGCUAGUUGGUGGGGUAAAGGCCUACCAAGGCGACGAUCCAUAGCUGGUCUGAGAGGAUGAUCAGCCACACUGGGACUGAGACACGGCCCAGACUCCUACGGGAGGCAGCAGUGGGGAAUAGUGGACAAUGGGCGAAAGCCUGAUCCAGCAAUGCCGCGUGAGUGAUGAAGGCCUUAGGGUUGUAAAGCUCUUUUACCCGAGAUGAUAAUGACAGUAGCGGGAGAAUAAGCUCCGGCUAACUCCGUG